This 361-nucleotide long non-coding RNA is filed under the name Eucalyptus grandis. RNAcentral describes it as "long non-coding RNA (EGRA_LNC001308)". Lineage: Eukaryota; Viridiplantae; Streptophyta; Magnoliopsida; Myrtales; Myrtaceae. The record is from RNAcentral.
AAGGCCCGCGGUGCAGCUUCUGCUGCUGCUGCUUCUGGACGGUCCUCCUCGUGCUCGGGCUCUGCCUCCUGGCCGCCAUCGCCGGCGCCGCCGUCUACGUGCUCUACCGCCCGCACCGCCCCGAGUUCUCCGUCUCCUCCCUCCGGACCGCCACCCUCAACCUCACCGCCGCCCCCGACGGCUCCUCCACCCGCCUCAUCACCCUCUUCAACCUCACCCUCACCUCCAAGAACCCGAACAGCCACUUCACCUUCGCCUACGACUCCUUCGACGUCGCGCUCACGUCGUCCGCGUCCAACCCCGUGUUCCUCGGCAACGGGUCGCUCCCGGCGUUCACGAGCAACGAGAUGGCCGUGACCCC